RNAcentral lists this small RNA (299 nucleotides) under Ictidomys tridecemlineatus (thirteen-lined ground squirrel). RNAcentral's name for it is "Metazoan signal recognition particle RNA (ENSSTOG00000032289.1)". It matches the Rfam family "Metazoan signal recognition particle RNA", at positions 1 to 200 of the family's 299-position model. From Rfam's summary of the family: The signal recognition particle (SRP) is a universally conserved ribonucleoprotein. It is involved in the co-translational targeting of proteins to membranes. The eukaryotic SRP consists of a 300-nucleotide 7S RNA and six proteins: SRPs 72, 68, 54, 19, 14, and 9. Lineage: Eukaryota; Metazoa; Chordata; Mammalia; Rodentia; Sciuridae. The record is from RNAcentral.
GCCCCGGGCUGGGCGGCGCACGCCUGUAGUCUCAGCUACUCGGGAGGCUGAGGUGGGAGGAUUGCUUGAGUCCAGGUGUUCUGGGCUGUAGUGUGCUAUGCGAUCCAGUGUCCGCACUAAGUUCGGCAUCAAUAUGGUGACCUCCCGGGAGCAGGUGGCCACCAGGUUGCCUAAGGAGGGGUGAACCCACCCAGGUCGGAAAAAAAUUUAGCUAUUUUUAAAAUUGAAGCAUCAAUUCAUUUUUACAUAAAUAGUCUCUCUAGUUGAGAUUCUGUACUUCCUAAUCAUUUCCAGGUUUU